Molecule: non-coding RNA, 1101 nt
Organism: Paramuricea clavata
Lineage: Eukaryota; Metazoa; Cnidaria; Anthozoa; Malacalcyonacea; Plexauridae
Source: the annotation of a GenBank genome assembly
UUUUGAGAUCAGUGAGGAUGACCACCCAUGAACGGUGAACCAUAGCCAUGCGCCCGCGAUUAUUAAUGAACUUGCGAAACAAAAUGCAAAGCGCAAUCAAUUACCCGUAAAACCAAUUCAAUCCCUACCAUCUAUUUUAUGAAUGACGCUCCACUAGCAUCAACGUGAUCUUGGUGUCUGGAUAUCUUCCGAUUUGACAUUGAACAAGCAUGUUAACGAACAGUGUAGGUAAGCAAAUAAAAUUCUUAGCUAUACAGCAGACGAAACACACGAACAAUUAAUAACACUAAAACAAGAAGAACCAUUUACUUGUCACUGGUACGAUCACAUUUUGGUUACGCGAUUGUGACGAUUUCUAUCGCCGACGUCUGGACACCUCAAUCUAUUGAACUUCUGCUCAAACUAGAAAAACCUCAAAGACGUGCAACAAAAUAUAUUCUUAAUCUUCCAUUUAUCAGUUCAGUAAAUUACAAAUCCAGAUUGCAAACUCUCCAUCUACUGCCCAUACUUUGCCGAUAUGAAUACCUUGAUGUGAUUCAUUUCUUUAAAGUAAUUCAUGGCAUUACCAGCUCGUCCUUUGCCUUGAACGCCAAGACAACAAGACAUAUAUAGCCUACAAGAUCGUCCACCAACACGAAAGGUGUAAAGUACGAAGUCCCGCGGUGCAAAACAACAACCUACCAAAGAUCAUUUUGGAUAAGAACUAUCAGAACAUGGAACAAAUUGACGGACAUACUUGACUUGAGUAUGGAGUACUUCAACAUGUUCAAGUCUGUAAUGUAAGAGUACUACCAUACUGCAUUAAAGAACAUAUACGAUUGUGGUGAUGUGCACGAACUUUUAAAACAAUUUGCCUGAGAUGCAAUAGAGCAGGGACUUUAACGAACUCGAUGAACUGUUGCAUGUUUUUAGUCUCCAUGGUUUAAUUGUUAUUUGUGUUAUUGAUAUUUGUCUCUUAACAUUUUGGGCCCUCAGUAAUUGGUUUCAGGCUGUUGCGGAUACCCAACUAUCAACUCAGUUAGUCAGUUUAUGUCAUUGUAUUAUGUAUUAUAUGUAUGCGUGUGUAUGUGUGUGUAUGUUUAUGGAAUCUGAUGGAAUAGC